GAUCAACGCUGGCGGCGUGCUUAACACAUGCAAGUCGAACGAAGUUUUUCCUUCGGGAGAAACUUAGUGGCGGACGGGUGAGUAACGCGUGGGUAACCUGCCCUGUACAGGGGGACAACAGCUGGAAACGGCUGCUAAUACCGCAUAAGCACUUAGCACUGCAUGGUGCAUAGGGAAAAGGAGCAAUCCGGUACAGGAUGGACCCGCGUCUGAUUAGCCAGUUGGCAGGGUAACGGCCUACCAAGGCGACGAUCAGUAGCCGAUCUGAGAGGAUGUACGGCCACAUUGGGACUGAGACACGGCCCAGACUCCUACGGGAGGCAGCAGUGGGGAAUAUUGCACAAUGGAGGAAACUCUGAUGCAGCGACGCCGCGUGAGUGAAGAAGUAUUUCGGUAUGUAAAGCUCUAUCAGCAGGGAAGAAAAUGACGGUACCUGACUAAGAAGCACCGGCUAAAUACGUG
Molecule: ribosomal RNA, 462 nt
Filed under: uncultured bacterium
Lineage: Bacteria
Description: partial 16S ribosomal RNA
Rfam family: Bacterial small subunit ribosomal RNA
Source: RNAcentral